CCCUUAGAUGUCCUGGGCCGCACGCGCGCUACACUGAUGCAUUCAACGAGUUUUACCUUGGCCGAGAGGCCUGGGCAAUCUUUUAAACCUGCAUCGUGAUAGGGAUAGAUUAUUGCAAUUAUUAAUCUUGAACGAGGAAUUCCUAGUAAACGCAAAUCAUCAAUUUGCAUUGAUUACGUCCCUGCCCUUUGUACACACCGCCCGUCGCACCUACCGAUUGAAUGAUCCGGUGAAAUCUCGGGAUUGUGGCCAGUUCACUUUAUUGGGAGUUGGCCGUGAGAACUUGCUUAAACCUUAUCAUUUAGAGGAAGGUGAAGUCGUAACA
Molecule: ribosomal RNA, 325 nt
Filed under: uncultured eukaryote
Lineage: Eukaryota
Description: partial 18S ribosomal RNA
Rfam family: Eukaryotic small subunit ribosomal RNA
Source: RNAcentral